ACGAACGCUGGCGGCGUGCUUAACACCUGCCAGUCGAACGGAAAGGCCCUGCUUUUGUGGGGUGCUCGAGUGGCGAACGGGUGAGUAACACGUGAGUAACCUGCCCUUGACUUUGGGAUAACUUCAGGAAACUGGGGCUAAUACCGGAUAGGAGCUCCUGCUGCAUGGUGGGGGUUGGAAAGUUUCGGCGGUUGGGGAUGGACUCGCGGCUUAUCAGCUUGUUGGUGGGGUAGUGGCUUACCAAGGCUUUGACGGGUAGCCGGCCUGAGAGGGUGACCGGCCACAUUGGGACUGAGAGACGGCCCAGACUCCUACGGGAGGCAGCAGUGGGGAAUAUUGCACAAUGGGCGGAAGCCUGAUGCAGCAACGCCGCGUGCGGGAUGACGGCCUUCGGGUUGUAAACCGCUUUCGCCUGUGACGAAGCGUGAGUGACGGUAAUGGGUAAAGAAGCACCGGCUAACUACGU
Molecule: ribosomal RNA, 466 nt
Filed under: uncultured bacterium
Lineage: Bacteria
Description: partial 16S ribosomal RNA
Rfam family: Bacterial small subunit ribosomal RNA
Source: RNAcentral